CCUACGGGUGGCAGCAGUGAGGAAUAUUGGUCAAUGGACGAGAGUCUGAACCAGCCAAGUAGCGUGAAGGAUGACUGCCCUAUGGGUUGUAAACUUCUUUUAUAUGGGAAUAAAACGUUUCACGUGUGGGAUUUUGUAUGUACCAUAUGAAUAAGGAUCGGCUAACUCCGUGCCAGCAGCCGCGGUAAUACGGAGGAUCCGAGCGUUAUCCGGAUUUAUUGGGUUUAAAGGGAGCGUAGGUGGCUUGUUAAGUCAGUUGUGAAAGUUUGCGGCUCAACCGUAAAAUUGCAGUUGAAACUGGCAGUCUUGAGUACAGUAGAGGUGGGCGGAAUUCGUGGUGUAGCGGUGAAAUGCUUAGAUAUCACGAAGAACUCCGAUUGCGAAGGCAGUUCACUGGACUGCAACUGACACUGAGGCUCGAAAGUGUGGGUAUCAAACAGGAUUAGAUACCCUUGUAGUC
This 460-nucleotide ribosomal RNA is filed under the name uncultured bacterium. RNAcentral's name for it is "partial 16S ribosomal RNA". It matches the Rfam family "Bacterial small subunit ribosomal RNA", at positions 338 to 795 of the family's 1533-position model. The record is from RNAcentral.